UGCAAGUCGAACGAACUCUGGUAUUGAUUGGUGCUUGCAUCAUGAUUUACAUUUGAGUGAGUGGCGAACUGGUGAGUAACACGUGGGAAACCUGCCCAGAAGCGGGGGAUAACACCUGGAAACAGAUGCUAAUACCGCAUAACAACUUGGACCGCAUGGUCCGAGUUUGAAAGAUGGCUUCGGCUAUCACUUUUGGAUGGUCCCGCGGCGUAUUAGCUAGAUGGUGRGGUAACGGCUCACCAUGGCAAUGAUACGUAGCCGACCUGAGAGGGUAAUCGGCCACAUUGGGACUGAGACACGGCCCAAACUCCUACGGGAGGCAGCAGUAGGGAAUCUUCCACAAUGGACGAAAGUCUGAUGGAGCAACGCCGCGUGAGUGAAGAAGGGUUUCGGCUCGUAAAACUCUGUUGUUAAAGAAGAACAUAUCUGAGAGUAACUGUUCAGGUAUUGACGGUAUUUAACCAGAAAAGCCACGGCUAACUACGUGCCAGCAGCCGCGGUAAUACGUAGGUGGCAAGCGUUGUCCGGAUUUAUUGGGCGUAAAGCGAGCGCAGGCGGUUUUUUAAGUCUGAUGUGAAAGCCUUCGGCUCAACCGAAGAAGUGCAUCGGAAACUGGGAAACUUGAGUGCAGAAGAGGACAGUGGAACUCCAUGUGUAGCGGUGAAAUGCGUAGAUAUAUGGAAGAACACCAGUGGCGAAGGCGGCUGUCUGGUCUGUAACUGACGCUGAGGCUCGAAAGUAUGGGUAGCAAACAGGAUUAGAUACCCUGGUAGUCCAUACCGUAAACGAUGAAUGCUAAGUGUUGGAGGGUUUCCGCCCUUCAGUGCUGCAGCUAACGCAUUAAGCAUUCCGCCUGGGGAGUACGGCCGCAAGGCUGAAACUCAAAGGAAUUGACGGGGGCCCGCACAAGCGGUGGAGCAUGUGGUUUAAUUCGAAGCUACGCGAAGAACCUUACCAGGUCUUGACAUACUAUGCAAAUCUAAGAGAUUAGACGUUCCCUUCGGGGACAUGGAUACAGGUGGUGCAUGGUUGUCGUCAGCUCGUGUCGUGAGAUGUUGGGUUAAGUCCCGCAACGAGCGCAACCCUUAUUAUCAGUUGCCAGCAUUAAGUUGGGCACUCUGGUGAGACUGCCGGUGACAAACCGGAGGAAGGUGGGGAUGACGUCAAAUCAUCAUGCCCCUUAUGACCUGGGCUACACACGUGCUACAAUGGAUGGUACAACGAGUUGCGAACUCGCGAGAGUAAGCUAAUCUCUUAAAGCCAUUCUCAGUUCGGAUUGUAGGCUGCAACUCGCCUACAUGAAGUCGGAAUCGCUAGUAAUCGCGGAUCAGCAUGCCGCGGUGAAUACGUUCCCGGGCCUUGUACACACCGCCCGUCACACCAUGAGAGUUUGUAACACCCAAAGUCGGUGGGGUAACC
RNAcentral lists this ribosomal RNA (1419 nucleotides) under Lactiplantibacillus plantarum. Its description in RNAcentral is "bacterial SSU rRNA". Lineage: Bacteria; Bacillati; Bacillota; Bacilli; Lactobacillales; Lactobacillaceae. The record is from RNAcentral.